RNAcentral lists this ribosomal RNA (67 nucleotides) under Ruminobacter amylophilus. Its description in RNAcentral is "16S rRNA. Bacterial SSU". The record is from RNAcentral. Lineage: Bacteria; Pseudomonadati; Pseudomonadota; Gammaproteobacteria; Aeromonadales; Succinivibrionaceae.
AUGGCUCAGAUUGAACGCUGGCGGCAGGCUUAAUACAUGCAAGUCGAACGGUAACAGCAGGAAGCUU